CACACGUCAUGGUGGGGACUCAUAGGAGGGGCCGGGGUCAACUGGGAGGAAGGUGGGGGGACGUCAAGUCUUCAUGCCCCUUAUUCCAGGGCUUCAAGCAUGCUACAAUGGCCGGUACAAAGGGCUGCGAAACCGUAAGGUGGAGCGAAUCCCA
This 154-nucleotide ribosomal RNA is filed under the name Aeromicrobium sp. Its description in RNAcentral is "partial 16S ribosomal RNA". It matches the Rfam family "Bacterial small subunit ribosomal RNA", at positions 1120 to 1276 of the family's 1533-position model. The record is from RNAcentral. Lineage: Bacteria; Bacillati; Actinomycetota; Actinomycetes; Propionibacteriales; Nocardioidaceae.